UGGGGAAUAUUGCACAAUGGGCGAAAGCCUGAUGCAGCGACGCCGCGUGAGGGAUGACGGCCUUCGGGUUGUAAACCUCUUUCAGUAGGGACGAAGCGCAAGUGACGGUACCUGCAGAAGAAGCACCGGCUAACUACGUGCCAGCAGCCGCGGUAAUACGUAGGGUGCGAGCGUUGUCCGGAAUUACUGGGCGUAAAGAGCUCGUAGGCGGUUUGUCACGUCGUCUGUGAAAUCCUAGGGCUUAACCCUGGACGUGCAGGCGAUACGGGCUGACUUGAGUACUACAGGAGAGACUGGAAUUUCUGGUGUAUCGGUGGAAUGCACAGAUAUCAGGAAGAACACCGAUGGCGAAGGCAGGUCUCUGGGUAGUAACUGACGCUGAGGAGCGAAAGCAUGGGUAGCGAACAGG
This 409-nucleotide ribosomal RNA is filed under the name bacterium. RNAcentral's name for it is "partial 16S ribosomal RNA". It matches the Rfam family "Bacterial small subunit ribosomal RNA", at positions 355 to 776 of the family's 1533-position model. The record is from RNAcentral.